GACCCCAGGUCAGGUGGGAUCACCCGCUGAGUUUAAGCAUAUCAA
Molecule: ribosomal RNA, 45 nt
Filed under: Aristolochia tagala
Lineage: Eukaryota; Viridiplantae; Streptophyta; Magnoliopsida; Piperales; Aristolochiaceae
Description: partial 28S ribosomal RNA
Source: RNAcentral